AACGAACGCUGGCGGCAUGCCUAACACAUGCAAGUCGAACGAGACCUUCGGGUCUAGUGGCGCACGGGUGCGUAACGCGUGGGAACCUGCCCUUAGGUUCGGAAUAACUCCCCGAAAGGGGUGCUAAUACCGGAUAAUGUCUUCGGACCAAAGAUUUAUCGCCUUUGGUUGGGCCCGCGUUGGAUUAGCUCGUUGGUAGGGUAAAAGCCUACCAAGGCGACAAUCCAUAGCUGGUCUGAGAGGAUGAUCAGCCACACUGGGAGUGAGACACGGCCCAGAAUCCUACGGGAGGCAGCAGUGGGGAAUAGUGGAAAAUGGGCGAAAGCAUGAUCCAGCAAGGCCGCGUGAGUGAUGAAGGCCGUAGGGUUGUAAAGCUCUUUUACCCGGGAUGAUAAUGACAGUACCGGGAGAAUAAGCUCCGGCUAACUCCGUG
Molecule: ribosomal RNA, 433 nt
Filed under: uncultured bacterium
Lineage: Bacteria
Description: partial 16S ribosomal RNA
Rfam family: Bacterial small subunit ribosomal RNA
Source: RNAcentral